GAUCAUUAGCGAAGCGAACGCCCUCCCGGGGCUGUGCUGGCGCUCCUGCGCACGUGCACGCCUCGGAGGGUUGUCCACCCUUCUCACACCUGUGCACACGUCCGGUCGGACCCGGCGCCUCGUGCGUCGACCGGCUGCCUUUCACAACAGCCAUGUCAGAGUGUCGAAAGCUUUAUGCGCUUGCGCAACCGAAAAACAACUUUUAACAACGGAUCUCUUGGUUCUCGCAUCGAUGAAGAACGCAGCGAAAUGCGAUAAGUAAUGUGAAUUGCAGAAUUCAGUGAAUCAUCGAAUCUUUGAACGCACCUUGCGCUCCUUGGUACUCCGAGGAGCAUGCCCGUUUGAGUGUCUCGAUAUCAUCAGAAGCCCAUGCCUCUGUGGCUGGUGCUCCUGGACUUGGAUGUGCUGCUGGGCGACCCCGCCCGGCUCGUCCGAAAUGCAUUAGCGAGAGAUGUAGGCCCCGCCGGCUCUCUUUGGCGUGAUAAGGUCACCCGUCGAGAGGCCCCCGGUGGUGAGGCCCGCGAUCCUUUUGCUUCCAACCGUCCUCGCGGACAACAGCAGACCUCGGUCUGACAUCUGACCUCAAAUCGGGUAGGACUACCCGCUGAACUUAAGCAUAUCAAUAAGCGGAGGAAAAGAAACUAACAGGGAUUCCCCUAGUAACUGCGAGUGAAGCGGGAAAAGCUCAAAUUUAAAAUCUGGCGGUUCUGCCGUCCGAGUUGUAAUUUAGAGAAGUGUUAUCCGCGCUGGACCGUGUACAAGUCUCCUGGAAUGGAGCGUCAUAGAGGGUGAGAAUCCCGUCUUUGACACGGACUGCCAGGGCAUUGUGAUGCGCUCUCAAAGAGUCGAGUUGUUUGGGAAUGCAGCUCAAAAUGGGUGGUAAAUUCCAUCUAAAGCUAAAUAUUGGGGAGAGACCGAUAGCGAACAAGUACCGUGAGGGAAAGAUGAAAAGAACUUUGGAAAGAGAGUUAAACAGUACGUGAAAUUGUUGAAAGGGAAACGCUUGAAGUCAGUCGCGCCGUUCAGAACUCAGCCUUGCUUUGCUUGGUGUACUUUCUGUCUGGUGGGUCAGCAUCAAUUUUGGUCGGUGGAUAAAGGCUCAGAGAAUGUGGCAUCUUCGGGUGUGUUAUAGCUCUGGGUCGCAUACAUCGGCUGGGAUUGAGGAACUCAGCACGCCGCAAGGCCGGGUACUUGUA
This 1196-nucleotide ribosomal RNA is filed under the name uncultured fungus. RNAcentral describes it as "eukaryotic LSU rRNA". The stretch from base 578 to 1196 matches the Rfam family "Eukaryotic large subunit ribosomal RNA", at positions 1 to 623 of the family's 3401-position model. The record is from RNAcentral. Lineage: Eukaryota; Fungi.